AUGGUUAACACCAUGUUAGACACUUUGGGUCUAUCCAAGGAAUGGUGGGGGGAGGCGCUAAUGACUGCGUGUCAUGUCCUAAACCGAGUUCCCACAAAGCAUAAGGCCAUGACUCCAUUUGAGGAAUGGGAAAGGAAAAGGUUGAAACUCUCUUACCUACGUACUUGGGGUUGUUUGGCGAAAGUCAAUAUACCAAUUCCCAAGAAGCGCAAGCUUGGACCAAAAACCGUGGAUUGUGUUCUUCUGGGCUAUGCUUUUCAUAGCAUCGUCUAUAGAUUUUUGAUAAUAAAAUCUGAGGUAUCCGACAUGCAUGUUGGUACGAUUAUGGAAUCAAAUGAUGCAACUUUCUUUGAGGACAUAUUUCCUAUGAAGGAUAUGUCGAGUUCAUCAAAUCAGGAGAUACCUACUCCAUCUAGUGAGGAAUUCACUAUAAUUCCUAAACCCACCAUUGCGAUGGAACACGUUGAGAAUCCUGUUGAGGGUAACAAUGGAACUCCUGUGAGGAGUAAGAGACAGAGGACUGCAAAGUCUUUUGGUGAUGAUUUCAUUGUGUACCUCAUGGAUGACACACCCAGGAAUAUUUCAGAAGCCUAUGCAUCUCCUGAUGCUGACUACUGGAAGGAAGCUGUACGUAGUGAGAUGGAUUCCAUCUUAGCUAAUGGUACCUGGGAGAUCACUGACCGUCCUUAUGGGUGCAAACCUGUAGGAUGUAAGUGGGUGUUCAAGAAGAAGCUUAGACCUGAUGGUACGAUUGAAAAGUACAAGGCACGGCUUGUGGCCAAGGGUUAUACCCAGAAAGAAGGUGAAGACUUCUUUGAUACUUACUCACCCGUGGCUAGACUGACCACAAUUCGGGUGCUAAUAUCAAUGGCUGCCUCACAUGGCCUUCUCGUUCAUCAAAUGGACAUUAAGACGGCUUUCCUCAAUGGAGAGUUGAAGGAGGAAAUUUACAUGGAUCAGCCAGAUGGUUUUGUAGUACCUGGUCUGGAAGGAAAGGUGUGCAAGUUAUUAAAGUAUUUAUAUGGCCUUAAACAAGCUCCUAAGGAGUGGCCUGAGAAGUUCAAAAGAACAUUAACUGCUGUCGGCUUUGUAGUAAACUAUGGUGACAAGUGCGUGUACUAUCGCUAUGGUGGGGGCGAAGGAGUUAUUCUUUGUCUGUAUGUCGACGACAUAUUGAUCUUUGGAACCAAACUUGAUUUAAUCAAGGAGGUUAAGGAUUUCUUAUCUUGCUGUUUUGAGAUGAAGGAUCUAGGAGUAGCUGAUGUUAUCUUAAACAUCAAGCUGUUGAGAGAUGAGAAUGGUGGUGCCACGAGGCCUGACAUCUCUUUUGCUGUGAGCAAGCUGAGUCGGUUUGUGUCAAAACCGGGAGAUGAUCAUUGGCACGCGCUUGAGAGAGUUAUGCGCUAUUUGAAAGGCACCGCGAGCUAUGGGAUUCACUACACCGGGUAUCCAAGGGUACUGGAGGGUUAUAGUGACUCAAACUGGAUAUCUGAUGCCGAUGAGAUUAAGGCCACAAAACUCACAUCAUUAGACACUGCCACUGUUGAAGCAGAGUGGCUUCGUGAACUCUUGAUGGACUUACCUAUGGUUGAAAAACCAAUACCCCCUAUCCUGAUGAACUGUGAUAAUCAAACUGUGAUCGUCAAGAUAAACAGUUCUAAGGACAAUAUGAAGUCCUCAAGGCAUGUGAAGAGGAGACUAAAAUCUGUCAGAAAAUUGAGGAACUCCGGAGUUAUUACGUUGGAUUAUAUCGAAACGUCGAAAAACUUGGAAGAUCCCUUCACAAAGGGUCUAUCACGUAAUGUGAUAGAUAAUGCAUCGAUGGAGAUGGGUUUGAGACCCACC
Molecule: ribosomal RNA, 1845 nt
Filed under: Triticum aestivum (bread wheat)
Lineage: Eukaryota; Viridiplantae; Streptophyta; Magnoliopsida; Poales; Poaceae
Description: partial small subunit ribosomal RNA
Source: RNAcentral